AUUGAACGCUGGCGGCAUGCCUUACACAUGCAAGUCGAACGGUAACAGGUCUUCGGAUGCUGUCGAGUGGCGAACGGGUGAGUAAUACAUCGGAACGUGCCUAGUAGUGGGGGAUAACUACUCGAAAGAGUGGCUAAUACCGCCUGAGAUCUACGGAUGAAAGCAGGGGAUCGCAAGACCUUGUGCUACUAGAGCGGCCGAUGGCGGAUUAGGUAGUUGGUGGGAUAAAAGCUUACCAAGCCGACGAUCUGUAGCUGGUCUGAGAGGACGAUCAGCCACACUGGGACUGAGACACGGCCCAGACUCCUACGGGAGGCAGCAGUGGGGAAUUUUGGACAAUGGGCGAAAGCCUGAUCCAGCAAUGCCGCGUGCAGGAUGAAGGCCUUCGGGUUGUAAACUGCUUUUGUACGGAACGAGAAGCCCCGGGUUAAUACCCUGGGGUCAUGACGGUACCGUAAGAAUAAGCACCGGCUAACUACGUGCCAGCCGCCGCCGUAA
RNAcentral lists this ribosomal RNA (498 nucleotides) under uncultured bacterium. RNAcentral describes it as "partial 16S ribosomal RNA". It matches the Rfam family "Bacterial small subunit ribosomal RNA", at positions 30 to 523 of the family's 1533-position model. The record is from RNAcentral.